RNAcentral lists this ribosomal RNA (501 nucleotides) under uncultured bacterium. RNAcentral's name for it is "partial 16S ribosomal RNA". It matches the Rfam family "Bacterial small subunit ribosomal RNA", at positions 30 to 523 of the family's 1533-position model. The record is from RNAcentral.
AUUGAACGCUGGCGGCAGGCUUAACACAUGCAAGUCGAGCGGGGGAAGGUAGCUUGCUACCGGACCUAGCGGCGGACGGGUGAGUAAUGCUUAGGAAUCUGCCUAUUAGUGGGGGACAACAUCUCGAAAGGGAUGCUAAUACCGCAUACGUCCUAUGGGAGAAAGCAGGGGAUCUUCGGACCUUGCGCUAAUAGAUGAGCCUAAGUCGGAUUAGCUAGUUGGUGGGGUAAAGGCCUACAAAGGCGACGAUCUGUAGCGGGUCUGAGAGGAUGAUCCGACACACUGGGACUGAGACACGGCCCAGACUCCUACGGGAGGCAGCAGUGGGGAAUAUUGGACAAUGGGGGGAACCCUGAUCCAGCCAUGCCGCGUGUGUGAAGAAGGCCUUAUGGUUGUAAAGCACUUUAAGCGAGGAGGAGGCUACUUUAGUUAAUACCUAGAGAUAGUGGACGUUACUCGCAGAAUAAGCACCGGCUAACUCUGUGCCAGCAGCCGCGGUAA